Molecule: ribosomal RNA, 732 nt
Filed under: Pseudomonas sp. 110623_PC_C1_G12
Lineage: Bacteria; Pseudomonadati; Pseudomonadota; Gammaproteobacteria; Pseudomonadales; Pseudomonadaceae
Also listed under: 2 other names
Description: bacterial SSU rRNA
Rfam family: Bacterial small subunit ribosomal RNA
Source: RNAcentral
UGGCUCAGAUUGAACGCUGGCGGCAGGCCUAACACAUGCAAGUCGAGCGGUAGAGAGAAGCUUGCUUCUCUUGAGAGCGGCGGACGGGUGAGUAAUGCCUAGGAAUCUGCCUGGUAGUGGGGGAUAACGUUCGGAAACGAACGCUAAUACCGCAUACGUCCUACGGGAGAAAGCAGGGGACCUUCGGGCCUUGCGCUAUCAGAUGAGCCUAGGUCGGAUUAGCUAGUUGGUGAGGUAAUGGCUCACCAAGGCGACGAUCCGUAACUGGUCUGAGAGGAUGAUCAGUCACACUGGAACUGAGACACGGUCCAGACUCCUACGGGAGGCAGCAGUGGGGAAUAUUGGACAAUGGGCGAAAGCCUGAUCCAGCCAUGCCGCGUGUGUGAAGAAGGUCUUCGGAUUGUAAAGCACUUUAAGUUGGGAGGAAGGGCAGUUACCUAAUACGUGAUUGUUUUGACGUUACCGACAGAAUAAGCACCGGCUAACUCUGUGCCAGCAGCCGCGGUAAUACAGAGGGUGCAAGCGUUAAUCGGAAUUACUGGGCGUAAAGCGCGCGUAGGUGGUUUGUUAAGUUGGAUGUGAAAUCCCCGGGCUCAACCUGGGAACUGCAUUCAAAACUGACUGACUAGAGUAUGGUAGAGGGUGGUGGAAUUUCCUGUGUAGCGGUGAAAUGCGUAGAUAUAGGAAGGAACACCAGUGGCGAAGGCGACCACCUGGACUAAUACUGACACU